This 69-nucleotide transfer RNA is filed under the name Sphaerodactylus townsendi. Its description in RNAcentral is "tRNA-Ala". It matches the Rfam family "tRNA". From Rfam's summary of the family: Transfer RNA (tRNA) molecules are approximately 80 nucleotides in length. Their secondary structure includes four short double-helical elements and three loops (D, anti-codon, and T loops). Lineage: Eukaryota; Metazoa; Chordata; Lepidosauria; Squamata; Sphaerodactylidae. The record is from RNAcentral.
GCUGUGGUUUAGUGGAAGAACCUCUGCUCAGCAUGCAGAAGGGCCCAGGUUCAAUCCGUGGCAUCUCCA